UAGCACAUUAUUUAAUGUAUCUUUACUUAUAAUAUACGUGUAACAAAACGUAAGUCUCGUUCGUAAGUAGUCUCGCGCAUAAUUUGAAACCGGAGCAACAAGGUUCGACUUUGCUAAUAUCGUCUUGUACUCGUACAUUAUUAUAAAAUUAUUUUUUGAUGAAUCAGGAAAAAAGGAAACGUUCUGAGAAUUGGAGUACUGAGGAAAAAGUAAGAACUUUAACGUAAAUUACUUCAAACUUGAAAUCAGUCCUUAAAUAAAUUAUGUACCUAAUUCUAAUAUAAAAUUUAUAGGAUAUACUACGUGAGAUGAUUGGGCAGUCACGCCACAUAAUAGAAAAUCGGUGUACAAAUGCUUCCCCCAAGAAUAAAAAAACUCAAGAGUGGAAAGAUAUAACAAUGAUAUUAAAUGAACUGACGGGAAAGUGUAGGUCAGACGGUGAUGUCAAAUUAGCGUGGAAGAGGAUGAAGCUCACAGCUAAAGCCAACUUGUCCAGUCAUUGGCAAGAUUUAGCAAAGACGGCGGGGUGGAAAUAAGCCUAAGUCGCCUUCACAGGAAGAUCUGGCAACAAUGAAUAUUGUUCCAUGCGAUUUUAUUCUCGAAUAAAAUCAUUUUGAAAGUGAUGCUAUGAGACCUGUGAUAAUAAUAAUAAUGUUUUUUUAUAUUCAAAAAAUAAAACAUUAUUUAUUAAUAAAAUGUAUAUUUAACCAUCAAUACUUGUAGGUUGAGUUGAUUGUUUUGGGCCAAAAAAGAUUGAAAUGGAAGCGGGGCCAAGUACAGCUGUACCACCGGUAGAAUUUGAAGAAAAUAAUGAGGUAUAAGUUGAAAAGGACCAAGGUACUUCAAAUAGUGUAAAUGUGGGAACUGCUACAAAAAAAAGUUUUAUGUAGAAAAAGUGAUCCAAAAAACAAAAAAAAUAAAAUGGCAGAAGAAAUAUUGCGAACCAACAGUGCAUUUAAAGAGAAGCAGUUGGAGAUGUUAGAAGUGGAGCAUCAAUAUAAAAUUGAAACAUAUAAAUUAAAAAUUAAAACUUGAAAUUGAUUUACUAGAAAAUAGUAAGAAGUCCAGUGCUCAGUAAUUAUUAAUUGUAAGUGAAUUUUAAACAUAAAAAAAUCAUUUAUAAUAUAUAAUUUUGUCAUUAUAUUUAUGAUUAUAUGUAAUUUUGAAUUUCAGGUUCUGCUGAGCAGUUAAAACUGUUAUUUAUAUAAAAAUAAAUUAUAAAAAAGAGAAUUUUAUUACAAAAUGUGGAAAUUUUUAAUGAUUAAAGAUAUAUAAAUAAAUAAUUUAAAUUAAAAAUGUCUUUCUAUGAAUUGCCGCCUCCUUAUAUUUCCACGUAAAUUGUUUUCAAUUGGUUGAACUAACGGUUCAGAGGUUUGUGAGUUAAA
Molecule: long non-coding RNA, 1385 nt
Organism: Vanessa tameamea
Lineage: Eukaryota; Metazoa; Arthropoda; Insecta; Lepidoptera; Nymphalidae
Exons: 4
Source: RefSeq, a predicted model, not a curated record